CCCGCCAGAGGUCACUGCUAUCGGUGUUCGACUAAGCCAUGCGAGUCAAAUGUUCUUCGUGAACAUGGCGUACUGCUCAGUAACACGUGGAUAACCUGCCCUUAGGUCUGGCAUAACCCCGGGAAACUGGGGAUAAUUCCGGAUAGAUUAUAGAUGCUGGAAUGCCCUGUAAUCCAAAGCUAUUGUGCCUAAGGAUGGGUCUGCGGUCUAUCAGGUUGUAGUGGGUGUAAUGUACCUACUAGCCUACGACGGAUACGG
RNAcentral lists this ribosomal RNA (258 nucleotides) under uncultured Methanomethylovorans sp. RNAcentral describes it as "partial 16S ribosomal RNA". It matches the Rfam family "Archaeal small subunit ribosomal RNA", at positions 13 to 272 of the family's 1478-position model. The record is from RNAcentral. Lineage: Archaea; Methanobacteriati; Methanobacteriota; Methanomicrobia; Methanosarcinales; Methanosarcinaceae.